Molecule: ribosomal RNA, 497 nt
Filed under: uncultured bacterium
Lineage: Bacteria
Description: partial 16S ribosomal RNA
Rfam family: Bacterial small subunit ribosomal RNA
Source: RNAcentral
GAUGAACGCUGGCGGUGCGCCUAAUACAUGCAAGUCGAGCGAACAGACGAGGAGCUUACUCCUCUGACGUUAGCGGCGGACGGGUGAGUAACACGUGGAUAACCUACCUAUAAGACUGGGAUAACUUCGGGAAACCGGAGCUAAUACCGGAUAACAUGUUGAACCGCAUGGUUCAACAGUGAAAGACGGUCUUGCUGUCACUUAUAGAUGGAUCCGCGUCGCAUUAGCUAGUUGGUAAGGUAACGGCUUACCAAGGCAACGAUGCGUAGCCGACCUGAGAGGGUGAUCGGCCACACUGGAACUGAGACACGGUCCAGACUCCUACGGGAGGAAGCAGUAGGGAAUCUUCCGCAAUGGGCGAAAGCCUGACGGAGCAACGCCGCGUGAGUGAAGAAGGUCUUCGGAUCGUAAAACUCUGUUAUUAGGGAAGAACAAAUGUGUAAGUAACUAUGCACGUCUUGACGGUACCUAAUCAGAAAGCCACGGCUAACUACGUG